UGCUCUGGCAGCGACGACAUCCCCAACUCGCCUCUUCAAUCGUCGGCACGAGCGCUCUCUUGCCUCGACCGAUGUCGGUUUCCCGUGCUGGAUACCUGAUGCAAAGGCAUUGCAUUCGGCUAAGUUGUCCCUAUUCCGUCCCGUAUCCAUGUGCCUCACGGCUCGUGAGAUGCGGACGGACCUCGGAGCAUCCUCCGUGGCGUCCCGAUCCGUGCGCUCCCGAAUGGGUUCCCGGCUCGACGAUCCAUGGUGGCCUGCUCGAUCUCUCGGAUGCGGAACACCCGUGGGUAUGAGGCGAUGUCCUCCUAAUGUCCCGAAAAAAUAGGCUUCUUGCGAACGACGGUCGUCACGGUCUCGCUCCCCUGCCCCCGUGGCAUCGGUCGUGCUGGGACGACGUCGGUGAGGAAUGCUACCUGGUUGAUCCU
Molecule: unclassified non-coding RNA, 425 nt
Filed under: Scutellaria likiangensis
Lineage: Eukaryota; Viridiplantae; Streptophyta; Magnoliopsida; Lamiales; Lamiaceae
Description: partial contains external transcribed spacer and 18S ribosomal RNA
Source: RNAcentral